RNAcentral lists this long non-coding RNA (1430 nucleotides) under Equus caballus (horse). RNAcentral describes it as "lncRNA (ENSECAG00000055609.1)". Lineage: Eukaryota; Metazoa; Chordata; Mammalia; Perissodactyla; Equidae. The record is from RNAcentral.
GGGGCACAGGAGGCAGGGACAAGUGUGGUUUGGGACGUAAUGAGUGUUCCAGUUAUCUACUGCAGUACAAUAAAUGACCUCAAACUUAGUGGCGAACAACAGUAACUAUUUUUUUAUGCAGUAGGUAUGGUCAUCUCUGCUGCCACUUGGGCGCCUCUGCUGGAAAGACUGGAGCUGACUCACAUGACUGGGACUGGAAUAGCUGGAGUUGCGAGUCACUUCCAAGAUGACUUUUCUACUCACGUAUCUGGCACCUUGGGGUAGAAAACUGGAAGGCUGGCCUCUGGAAGGCUGCUGGUUGGAAUGCCUACCUGUGGCCUUCCCUGCAUGGCAGCCUCAGAUGAAGGAACGUGACCCUGAGAGGUUAGGUAACAUUCUCAAGGUCAUGCAGCUGGAAAGUGACAGUGCUGGAACUCAGAAACCUGCUUUCCUGCUGCCCCAGACCCAGCUCUUCCCACGGCAGGCAGCUGCUCCGCAGCAGGAGCAGGCUCAGCUCAGGCCCACUCCCACACCCACCCACACUGUGGGAUUAGCUUCCUGGCAAAGCCGCUGUGUUUCUGGUGCUGAUGUGGUCCUGCCGGGAGAUGCCGCCACGGCUGCCUCGGCCCUCGCCCACCACCGGCAUGUCUAAAAUUUACUGGAAGCAAAAAGCAGGCAACUGUGACAGCAGCCUAAAACAUUGACACAUUGGGAAAAUGAAUCUAUCCACCCAUCAGACACGCUGAAACUGCCUGUCAAGAAAUAACAGUGUAGGGGCUCUCUGUUAAAGGUCACCCUCUAGGCCCUGAGGAAUUUUUCCUGAAUUACAAAGGAGGAACAGAUCAAAUGCCUGUCAUAACACACUUCAGAAAACAAGGAGCAACCAGAAGUUCCCAUUCAUCCAAGGAAUCUUUGGAAAUCCUGCUUUGGGUGGAGUGACAUUUGCUAACAAUAAAAACAGUUCACUUGGCAGGCGGCCUUGGGUAGGGCCAAAGCUGACUGGCGCACUGUCCCUCCAGAUACUGUGUGUCACCUCUCAAGGCUUCCAGGAAGUUCGCAGAACAGCAGGAACCGGGUCUCGCCUUGGUGGGUCCCAGCCCACCCUCCCACGCAGGCUUCCUCUCCACCCACAUCACAAGGGAAGGAGCUCCAAACAGAGCUUUCUUCUUCUGAAGCCCAGUGGGGCUACUUCACCUUUUCCCACAGUUUUAGCUGACCUGGGUCAGCUUAGGAAGAGGCGCAGGCAGAACCACUCACAGAUUUGUGUGUUUCCAACAACUUAUUUGGGUUCCUGUCCAAUUCAGAUUCUGAGGCGUGGAAUCCUGGACGGCAAAAUCAAAAAACAUCCCAUCAGCUAUGCGGCAAUGGGUCUGAGUUAACAAAGUUGCUACUCUUCUUUACCUGGGUUUUUUUUUAAAAAAGCAUUAAAAUAACAACUAAUAUUUGUAAUG